UACGAAGGGGGCUAGCGUUGUUCGGAAUUACUGGGCGUAAAGCGCACGUAGGCGGACUAUUAAGUCAGGGGUGAAAUCCCGGGGCUCAACCCCGGAACUGCCUUUGAUACUGGUAGUCUCGAGUCCGGAAGAGGUGAGUGGAAUUCCGAGUGUAGAGGUGAAAUUCGUAGAUAUUCGGAGGAACACCAGUGGCGAAGGCGGCUCACUGGUCCGGUACUGACGCUGAGGUGCGAAAGCGUGGGGAGCAAACGGG
Molecule: ribosomal RNA, 253 nt
Filed under: uncultured bacterium
Lineage: Bacteria
Description: partial 16S ribosomal RNA
Rfam family: Bacterial small subunit ribosomal RNA
Source: RNAcentral